GACGAACGCUGGCGGCGUGCCUAAUACAUGCAAGUAGAACGCUGAAGAGAGGAGCUUGCUCUUCUUGGAUGAGUUGCGAACGGGUGAGUAACGCGUAGGUAACCUGCCUGGUAGCGGGGGAUAACUAUUGGAAACGAUAGCUAAUACCGCAUAAAAUUGAUUAUUGCAUGAUAAUUAAUUGAAAGAUGCAACUGCAUCACUACCAGAUGGACCUGCGUUGUAUUAGCUAGUUGGUGAGGUAACGGCUCACCAAGGCGACGAUACAUAGCCGACCUGAGAGGGUGGUCGGCCACACUGGGACGGAGACACGGCCCAGACUCCUACGGGAGGCAGCAGUAGGGAAUCUUCGGCAAUGGGGGGAACCCUGACCGAGCAACGCCGCGUGAGUGAAGAAGGGUUUCGGAUCGUAAAGCUCUGUUGUAAGAGAAGAACGGGUGUGAGAGUGGAAAGUUCACACUGUGACGGUAUCUUACCAGAAAGGGACGGCUAACUACGUG
This 497-nucleotide ribosomal RNA is filed under the name uncultured bacterium. RNAcentral's name for it is "partial 16S ribosomal RNA". It matches the Rfam family "Bacterial small subunit ribosomal RNA", at positions 28 to 507 of the family's 1533-position model. The record is from RNAcentral.